This 1382-nucleotide long non-coding RNA is filed under the name Homo sapiens (human). RNAcentral's name for it is "PREDICTED lncRNA (TCONS_00163808)". The record is from RNAcentral. Lineage: Eukaryota; Metazoa; Chordata; Mammalia; Primates; Hominidae.
GGCACUUGCAACUUUAUUGCGCCAGCAAGAACAUGCAUACAGCCCAGUCUAACGUACAGGAUCAAAAAGAGACCUUAUUUCGGCUGGCAAUUACCUUACCCGCUUGUUCAUUAUCUGACUCCUGCACUCCUCCCAAGUGUUCAAUGUUAACCAGAUGGCAAAGUUAACCAGACAGAGGAAAUCCACAUAAUUACUCUAGAUGAAGCCCCCUAACUGCGGAUUAGAAGGAAAAGAGAUGAAGGGUGCUGCACUAAUAAUAACAACCAUUUUCAACCAAGGCAGGAUUCUGGGCCUAGAAUCUUCAGUGACAAAUUACCAGGAGAGGAGGAGGGAAAUGAAGAGCUGGAGGCCUAGGGAGAUGGUGUGAGGAGAGGAGACUGUGCCUUUCCACUUCUUAAUAAUUAAUGUUCUCCUGCUGCUCUGAGUCUGCAUCACCAGUGAUUCAGUUUGAGUCAGACAUCCAACAACAACUGAGCAAAAGAAUCAUCUCAGAUCCAAGCAAUGGUGACGCGCAGAUAGAAGAGACUGAGGCCAACGACCAAAGCAAAGGACAGCAGAACUGACUGACACAGCUCAGAAAAUAUCCAAAGCUCUGUAUGCUCUGGAAAGGAAGACAAGAAAUGCUAAAGACUCUGGAUAUUGCUCUGUUUCUAUAAGGUCCCACCCAUAUACCAUCUCUUCUUUUGGAUUUCCUUUGGCAGGGUUCCCUUGUAUGGAAGUUCUCAGGAGAACAACACUCUCAGAGUCCCACUGUCUCAAAGAAUUCUUAAUGGACAGCUAUACUUGGCCCCAAGGUUUCAACCUCACACUGAAGAAAGUGACAUAAGAAAACACAAGUCCCAGUGCUAUCAGGGGCUAUCUGGAAAAGCUGCUUAAACAGCAAGUGAAAGAAGGCUCUCCCCUACCCCGUUCUAGGUGAGGAACAGGUGGCUGGUGAGUUUUUAACUUGAUAGGAGAAUCUAAUAACCUCACCACCCAACAAUACUGAUAGCUUUCCUAUAUGUGCUGAAACUGUUGACAAUACCUAAAGGGAACAGCCUUAGAGAGUGCAGAGCAGGGAAAGUUUAUAUGUGUUUGCUAGUUAUAAAACAGAUGGCACUGUUUUCAUAGUCCAGUGAUACUGGGAGAUCAUAAAAUAAAAUGUCAAUGGCAAGACAGUGACAAUGGGGGCAGUGAGCCUGGCAAAUGGAGAUGAGCCUAAAGCUAAUUUGCUAGAAAAAAAUGACUUGAUUAGGUCAGGGAGGUGGAAGAACAACCAGUUUUGAGCAGAGAUUGUGCCACUGCACUCCAAAGUGGGCAACAGAGCGAGACUCUGUCUCCAAAAAAAAAGAAAAAAAUUAAAAAAAGAUACACAGGAUAUAUUAAGUGAAAAAUGGAUUAUU